Molecule: microRNA precursor, 67 nt
Filed under: Bombyx mori (domestic silkworm)
Lineage: Eukaryota; Metazoa; Arthropoda; Insecta; Lepidoptera; Bombycidae
Description: mir-2774 microRNA precursor family
Rfam family: mir-2774 microRNA precursor family
Source: Rfam by way of RNAcentral
ACAACAAUUAGACGGUCGGUCUAUCGAGCAAUGCUACCUGUUCGGUGAAAGAUCUUCCCUUCGUCGU